AGGAUGCCCAGGAAUCACACUCCUCACUUAACACAUAAGGGACUCUGGGACUGUGGAGUCCUGGGACUCCGUGCUGGAAUUGUCUCUGUCCUUCCAUUGGAUUUCCCUGGCACAUGCUCAGAAUGAAAGAUCCCCACGUCCACAGCAGGGAUUACAUGGACAGGUUUCCCUUUAUGGUAACCAUUGGCUGAAGAUUCAAAGGUCUUAAAGCUCCAGUGAUGACAUUAGACCAGGACUGUUUAUCCUUUGAGGAUGUGGCUGUGUACUUCUCCUGGGAGGAAUGAACACUGCUUGAUGACUCUCAAAAGAUCCUGCACCAGACUGUGAUGUCAGAGAUCUGAACACUCAUGUCUUUGAUGGGACUUAUAUCUUCUGGGAUCCAUGACAUGACUCAGCUGGAGUCUUGGGGAGAGCCCUCUGUGCCUGCAUUGAGAUUCCUGACUCCAGGUUGUUGGAUCAAAGUGCAUAGUGAAAUGUCACCCUUUGAGCAGAGUCUGUCUGCAGAAGGUGCCAGUCCAUCCACGCUGCAGCAGCACAUGCUGUGCUGUGCUGAGACACCCUUGCUAAGCAUGGACAAUGUGAUGAUCCUACAGAGCUCCUUAGGUCUUCUAAGGCAUGAAGUGACUUACACUAUUGGGGAUGCCCCCACGAACACUGAGAGUAGAGAGGCCAUUCAGAGUGAGAAGAACUGCAUAUGCAGCGACAGUGGCAAAACUUUUACUAGCACAUCCCACCUCAAUCGACACCAGAUGAUACACACUGGAGAAAAGCCUUUUCAGUGUAGUGAAUGUGGCAAGUCCUUCAGCCAAAAAGCCUUUCUUAUUAAGCAUUUCAGAAUUCACACCGCAGAGAAGCCAUUCAGGUGUGGGGAGUGUGGCAAAACCUUCAAGCACAACUGAUUCCUUGUUGCUCAUCAGCGAGUUCACACAGAAAUGACACUUUUACAUGGACUAAAUGUGCCAAGUCAUACAUGAACACAUCCAGCCAUUUAUAUCAUUAUUGGGUUCAUACUGAAGAAAAGCCAUAGAAGUAUACUAUAGUAGUUUGAAUAGGUAGCCCCAUAGAUCAUGUGUUUGAAUGCUUGGCCCAUAGGGAGUGACACUAUUAGGUGAUGUGGCCUUCUUAGAAUAGGUGUGGCAUUCUUGCAGAAAGUGUGUCACUGUGGGGAUGGGCUUUGAGGUUCAGUGCUCAAGCUCCACCCAGUGUGGGAGAGUCUCUUCCUGGCUGCCUUUAGAUCAGGAUAUAAAACCUCUGCUCCACAGCACCGUGUCUGCCUGCAUGCAGCCAUGGUUCCUGCCAAGAUGGUAAUGGAUUGACCUUCUGAAAAUGUAAGCCAGACCCAAUUAAAUGUUGUCCUUUAUAA
Molecule: RNA transcript, 1363 nt
Organism: Mus musculus (house mouse)
Lineage: Eukaryota; Metazoa; Chordata; Mammalia; Rodentia; Muridae
Gene name: predicted gene 7696
Exons: 4
Source: RefSeq, a predicted model, not a curated record